This 309-nucleotide ribosomal RNA is filed under the name uncultured bacterium. RNAcentral's name for it is "partial 16S ribosomal RNA". It matches the Rfam family "Bacterial small subunit ribosomal RNA", at positions 504 to 808 of the family's 1533-position model. The record is from RNAcentral.
AGAGACAGCAGCCGCCGCGGUAAUACGUAGGUCCCGAGCGUUGUCCGGAUUUAUUGGGCGUAAAGCGAGCGCAGGCGGUUAGAUAAGUCUGAAGUUAAAGGCUGUGGCUUAACCAUAGUACGCUUUGGAAACUGUUUAACUUGAGUGCAGAAGGGGAGAGUGGAAUUCCAUGUGUAGCGGUGAAAUGCGUAGAUAUAUGGAGGAACACCGGUGGCGAAAGCGGCUCUCUGGUCUGUAACUGACGCUGAGGCUCGAAAGCGUGGGGAGCAAACAGGAUUAGAUACCCCCGUAGUCCCUGUCUCUUAUACA